RNAcentral lists this ribosomal RNA (253 nucleotides) under uncultured bacterium. RNAcentral's name for it is "partial 16S ribosomal RNA". It matches the Rfam family "Bacterial small subunit ribosomal RNA", at positions 524 to 776 of the family's 1533-position model. The record is from RNAcentral.
UACGUAGGGCGCGAGCGUUGUCCGGAUUUAUUGGGCGUAAAGAGCUCGUAGGCGGCUUGUCGCGUCGAAUGUGAAAACUCGGGGCUCAACUCCGAGCUUGCAUUCGAUACGGGCAGGCUAGAGUUCGGUAGGGGAGACUGGAAUUCCUGGUGUAGCAGUGAAAUGCGCAGAUAUCAGGAGGAACACCGGUGGCGAAGGCGGGUCUCUGGGCCGAUACUGACACUGAGGAGCGAAAGCGUGGGGAGCGAACAGG